Molecule: ribosomal RNA, 375 nt
Filed under: uncultured organism
Description: partial 16S ribosomal RNA
Rfam family: Bacterial small subunit ribosomal RNA
Source: RNAcentral
GUAGGUGGCAAGCGUUGUCCGGAAUUAUUGGGGCGUAAAGCGCGCGCAGGCGGUUCUUUAAGUCUGAUGUGAAAGCCCACGGGCUCAACCGUGGAGGGUCAUUGGAAACUGGAGAACUUGAGUACAGAAGAGGAAAGCGGAAUUCCACGUGUAGCGGUGAAAUGCGUAGAGAUGUGGAGGAACACCAGUGGCGAAGGCGGCUUUCUGGUCUGUAACUGACGCUGAGGCGCGAAAGCGUGGGGAGCAAACAGGAUUAGAUACCCUGGUAGUCCACGCCGUAAACGAUGAGUGCUAAGUGUUAGGGGGUUUCCGGCCCCUUACGUGCUGCAGCUAACGCAUUAAGCACUCCGCCUGGGGAGUACGGCCGCAAGGCUG